CCUGGACAGGCCAGCUCACUUGGUCCAGCCCCAGGCCCCACACCUGUAACAAGGGCCGUGAUGACAGAGGUCUCAGCAAACAGCCCGCGGCCAAGGAGCUGGUGCAGCGAGGAGGGCAGGGGCCCACGCGCAGCCAUCCUCCAGAGAGCAUCAGUCUAGGCUGCAAGCUUGAAGCGGAGCAGAGAGUGGGGAGCAGUUUUCAGAGUCCUUCCCUCGCGUGGGAUGGAAGAGAAGCCGCUGGGCAUAGCUGAGAGUUGCCUGUCCUAUAAAGCGAAUUCUCCACUGAGAGGGUGGUACUUUCCUUGGCACACUGAUCAGGCUCUCUGGAUGCAGAAGCCGGACUCACUGCAGAGGCAGCUGUGCUGUUCCUGGAGCUUCUGGGGUGCGUCCACCUCUCAGGGUUCGCCCAGGCCGGCUCCAAGUGCCAGGGGCAUCCGAGGUGGGUACCUGCCCUUCUGGGUGCCGACAGCAGAGCCUGCCUUCCCUCUGUCACCAUGAGCGGCUGCUCCAAAAGAUGCAAGCUGGGCUUCGUGAAAUUUGCCCAAACCAUCUUUAAGCUCAUCACUGGGACCCUCAGCAAAGGUAGGGAGCCUGGCCCUGCCCCUCGUUUUCUGCCUUGGCGUGGCCUGGCUGGUCAGAGUGUCUCAGUGUGGUAAGUGUGGCCGUUCCGGUGCGCCUCGGUCUCAGAGGAGGCUGGAGGGGAAAUCAGUGGCUGGGUGUCGGGGUGGCUGACAACCUGGGUCGUGCCUCUGAGCAGACGGGCACCAGGCCAGGGAGCUCAGCCGGCUUUAAUUGCCUGGAACUUUGGAAAUGGGUUUGGUGGUGUGUGGCUGAUUGGUUACAGGCGGGCAGAGGGACAGAACCCUUCCCAGAGUACUGGAAGCGGCUUAGCGUGACUAGAGUUUCAAGAAGUUAUCCGCGGAGUGCUGUGUCUUGUUGAUAAAAGAGAGAUUUGAUGCGGUGGGCUAUAAGUCUGCAGAACAGGAACGCUGGAGGGGGCCAGCAGGAGGUGGCUGCAGGGCUGGAAUCCACUGUGCACUGGUGGAUACUGGAUCCGGGAUCCCAAUCAGCUCUGGAUCUGGUGUGCCAAGAGCUUUCUCUCGUGGGGUUCCAGGGUUCUGCGGUUCUGGGCUCCGUUCAUCAUGUCUUUGCUUUCUUGGAUCCCUGUCCUUCUGCGUCUCCUGCUCAUGCCUGUGUCUGUUGUCUCUACUUCUCCAAGAACUGGGGUGGCAGGGCGUUUGCAGGUCUCACUUCCCCGGGGCGGCCCAGAAAGGGAGGUUGCGGACCAGAGCUAGGACUGCGCGUGCGCAGUUCAGCACCAGGAUGCCGAGGGGAGGCUGACUUCUCAGGGGUGUCUCUGGGGCCCCAUGUUACACUCUGUACCAGGGAGCCUGAGGCACUCAGAGACACUCUGGCAAACUUUCUGGAGAUAAUAUUUAAAGCGAGAGCAGCAGUGUGAUGUGGUUGCACUGGCUGAAAAAAUGUCUUUAAAUAUUCAUGCCCUUCGUUCGGGAGGAAGGAGUCUUUGGGGGAGAUGCACUGGAAGCAGCAGGCAGGGUAUUAUUUGGGGAGGGAGGGAGGCCCGUAAACCCCUGAUUAGGAUUUUAAAAGAUGGCAAUGAAAGGAUAUAAAGACUGCGCAUGGUCACCUCCAAGGGCCUGGUUCAGGUCCCCUGCUGCUCAGCAGGUCCAGCCUGGGUGCAAAUGGGAGGAGGAAUGGGGAAAUUUUGCUUAUCUCCUUUCUCUGGCCCUUUUGUCAUUCCUGUUCUGUGCCCACUGCUCUUCUGAAAAGGGGCACUGCUCGCCCCACCUCCCACCCCAGGAAGCCCAGGUGCGCCGAAUGUCCAAUGCUGAGGGUCAGGCUGCCUGCCGGGCAGAAUUCUGGGGGCUCUAAGUGGGAAGGACUCAGGUGAGGCAGAGAGAGUGGAGGGCUGUGAGGGUUGUGCAGAGUUCCCCAUUCAAUCCUCCGAGACAAAUUCAGGCUUUUCUCCUCACAUCAAGUGUCCUGGAAUCUCAAGGGCUGAUGGGUGAGGGGCAGCACCCUAUCCCAGUCUCUGCUCCCCGGAAAUGCUGUGGAACAUGCUUUGGUCUGGACUUAGGCAACCAAGUUCUCAGCUCCAGCUUUGCUUCCUGUGCAAGCCACAGCCUCCCUGAGCCUCAGUAUCCUCAUCUGUAAAAUGAGUCUGUUACCUCCACCCUUGCUCCCUCCAGCUCUGUUGCCAAGGAUCCAGGGAAGCUGAGUGUGUUGCAAUGACCCAACUGAAGGAGCGGCCAGGGACUGAGAUGCGUGUGGGUCUGGACAGGGUGACCCAGGCCAUCCCCUGUGCCUGCCCAGGAUCAAAGGCUCUUUAAUUCAGUGACCGCAGGUGGGUCCGUAGACUCCAGGCAGCAUCAGAGGGAGAGAGAGAUCACAGAAGGACAAAAUGCAGCAAGAGGGGGUGAACAUGAGCCAGUGAGUGAGUCAGGAAGAGAGAGUGUGUGCAAAGCAGGGUGUGUGUGUGUGUGUGUGUGUGUGUGUGUGUGAGAGAGAGAGAGAGAGAGAGAGAGAGAGAUCGAAAGAGGAUAGAUAGCCACUUGAAUAAAUAAGCAUGAAGAUACUUUCGUCUGUGUAUCUGCCUGCAGUCAUUUGCUUAGUAUUUAUUUAUUGAGCACCUGCUCUGUGCCACAUUCAUGGCCAGACACUGGACACCAGGAUGGAUAAGCCAAGCCCUCCAUCUGGGAGCACGCAUUGGCACAGACCAAAGACACAGACACCACGGGCACAUCAUGCUCAGUGCUGAGAUGGAGGGAGGCUUGGGAGCCAAAGGGCACUGAGAGGAGAAGCCUGGGGCAGAAGAGGUUCCUCCAAAGGUGGCAUCUCAACUGAGAUGAGCAGGAGGGGCAGGGCGGGCUGGGCAGGGGAAGGAGGUUGGCGCUGGUUAGGGAGCAGUACUAGAGCACCAGCCUCUGCAGAGAAACCAGCCAGUGGGUCAGGACGGCCCCUCCCUCUGCUCAGAAUCCCAGCAACUACGAUCCAUGUGACACAGAAAUGGCUCCUCAGGGACCAGCACGGGGGAACGAGUGGCCGCCUGGACUUCCUCUGACCUACUUCAGUACUCAGUUUCCUCGAGCCACGGCAGGCGCCAGGGCAGGGCACAAGCUAUUUCCACAGCUCUGGCUCUGUGUCAGGCACACUCUGGGAACCCAGGGGUCUGCCUGACCCAGGUGGUCGGUAAAUAUUUUUUGAAAUAAAUGACCAAGAGAGCAGGACCACACUUAGAGCAGGGGGAUGAAGAAAGGUCUUUCUCAUGUAUAGACCAGCCCUAAGUGAAUUUAGACUCGACCCUGCAUGGACACAUGCCAUGUGCAUAAUGAUUUCUGGUUUUCCUUGUGAUUUCACUUAUUUGUUACCCAUCGCACUGAGUUCUAGAUGUGCAAUAAUCCACCCUUUAGGAGAAAGACUUCUCUUAGCUCCUUUCAGGAUUGAGGAAUGUGAAGCGUCUCUACGGCCAGGUGCCUCCUGCUGGUCCUGGGGACAACUCAUUGUUUCUUAUUCUUAUUCCUUAUUCUUGGGAAUAACUGGGGCCCACGACUGCCCCUCUGUGUCCCACCUGCUCCUGGCCUGGCCACCUCCCCCUGUCGCCAGCAGUCCCCUUACCCAGUGGUCUCAGCUGUCGGGUGGCUCAGAUUGCUCAUGGGCGCCCUUUGCAGAGGUGAACUGACCAGGUCCUCCUGGUCACACAUGUCCUUGGCUUUGAGCUUUGCCUUCAUGGCUCUGAUCCCAAUCUGGGAUCCGUCUUUCUUUUAGGGACACGUUUGCUAAAGGCCGUUUUCCCCACUUGACCUAAGCCCACAUGUGUGUUUGCUCACCAUUGUAGCCAGAGCUAAUCACCCAGCACCCAGGCCAGAGUGGGUGCUUCACUAGCAGAACUGAGUGAAUGAAGCAUUGCUGCACAGCACCCGACGUGCUUGAAGUGACUUGAGUUUCUAGGAAGCACCGUACACGCGCCUGUCCCAGAGGGGUUCUGUAAACACGCUCCCACCUCUGUCCAGCUGCGGGACCGGAUUUGGUGGCCAGAGAGUGAGACUCUGGCCAGACAGACUAUUCAGGACCUGAGCUUCUUAGUGUCUUGGGAAGGGCAUUUAAACUGUCAGAAGAGGAGUUCCCAUCGAGGCUCAGUGGCUAAUGAAUCCGACUAGGAACCAUGAGGUUGCAGGUUUGAUCCCUGGCCUUGCUCAGUGGGUUAAGGAUCCGGCGUUGCCAUGAGCUGUGGUGUGGGUCAUAGAUGCAGCUUGGAUCUGGCGUUGCUGUGGCUCUGGUGUAGGCUGGUGGCUACAGCUCCAAUUAGACCCCUAGCCUGCGAACCUCCAUAUGCUGUGGGUGCAGCCCUAGAAAAGACAAAAAGAAUAAAAGAAUAAAAAAAAUAAACUGUCAUAAGAGGGGAGGCUGUGUAAGGUGUGUGUGUGUGUAUUGUGGGGAUGGGGGUGUUCUGGCAGCCCCCGCUCCUGCCCCUUCUGCUCCACUUUGAUUUGUUUUACAAACUAGAUUUCUCUGAAAUGAAACGAACGAGUUUUCUUUGUGUGUAUAUGUAGGUGUAAAACGUGUAAACCAGUUAUGCAGUGGAAAAGGCAGUUGGUUGCCAGGCUGGUUCACCUUUAGGUCUUCUGGACACUGACUAGGGAACCCGUGCUGGGUCCCUCACCUCUCUCUGGCCUCAGUUACCUAAUCUAUAAAAUGGAAUCAUAAACACGCUCCUUAGGGCAUUGAACGAGACCCUAUAGAAAGCCUCCUGCAUAGUAAGGACCGGGCAGCUUUCCCUGGCGAUGCUGCAGUGGUUGGCUGGUGUUCUCAGGGCUGAGACGCCUCACUCACUGCUUGUUUCUUGAGCCGCUGACACACACUCUGAGAGCAGCUUCUGUCGUCUCCAGGACCUUUGCUGUCCCCGCUCUCCUGAACUCGCUCUCCAUGGCCCCAUCCAACAUCACCACGGCUGACACCUGAGCCGAUUCCCACACCUGAUUCCCUGCCUAGGCCUUAGGUGUGUGACUCCCAGAGCCAGGCCCUCCCCUGCUCUAAAGUACCCACCAGAAGUGCAGCUCCUGACUUGGAUGCUUAGUUGAACCAGGCUCUGGGAAACCUGCCUUCUCCUCCUGCGCAGCCAGCCAGCUCCCCAACCCCGGCUCAGAGACCCCUGGGGCUGAGGGCAGGAGCCAGAGCUUUGCGCCAGCUCCACUCCAGCUGGGGAGAUUUAAACCCUUUCCUUCUGCAUUUUGGGAACCCAUCUGUCACCCCAGGCACAGAUGGCAAAGCCAAAGCAAGAAGGAGGGAUCCUAUCCAGGAGAGCUUCAGUUGUCCCGGCCACCCGCAUGGCUGCUGGGUCGGAAAGGGGGUGGUGCUGACCUUCAAGAUUUAUCUCAAGGGCACUGCCCUGAGCCCCAACUCUCCCUCCCGCCCAGACCCGGGGCGUUUCUCUCUGCGCAAGGCAGGACCUCAGCUUCAGACCCACUGGAGACAGACUGUUCCUCCCGCCUCCUUCCCACCGCCUUUCGAGAAGCCUCAAGACACUGACUUUGAACUUGGGGAGGGCUCUGCCCUCAGGCAGGCUGGGCUGGAGUCCCAGUCUUGUGGUUCACCAGCUGUGUGCGCUUGGGUGAGUUGCACGACCUCCCCAACCCAAGGCUCCUCACUGUUUGCUGGAUAUAAGAGCAGUAUCAGCCACACAAGGUCAUCUUAAUAAUUCAACAGGGAGGCUACAGGGCAUAAGCUGGCAACUAGCAGGGCGAGGGGCUACUUGCAGGGCACUUGCAGGGAGCUGAGAGUGAGGCUUCCUUCAACUGUGUGCCUUAGGCACCUCUCUUUUCUCCCCCGGCCCCAACCCCGAAAGUAGACAUUACAAAUCACCGUUUUAGCAGUUUCAAGGAAACUGACCUUUAGCCAAGACAGGCGACCCAGCUGGCAAUGAGUGGCUGGGCUGGGAUUAGAACCCAGGUCCAAGUGGGGCCAAGACCAAGUGCUAGCCUCUCCACAGAGCUGGAGAAGAGGCCCCUGUGAGCACCACUACCCACUUUGUCACCAGCAGAAUGCCCCCAGCUUCCCGCUAAUGCUGUAGGUGGGUUUAUCAAGAACAGUUAUACCUGCUCAAUCGCUUCAGGGCAGCCACCGUCUUGCGAGGAGUUGGCACGAGUUCCAUAACAUGGCAUGGCCUGGGUUCGGAAUAAGCUUGAGGAGGAAAGGGAACACCCCCACAGGCCAAGGUCAGCAAGACGGCCCCAUGGGUGCUCUCCUAGCAUCAUUAUCACGUCUUAGAUGGGUGCACUGGUGCCUGGGUACCUGCUGGCUGGUGAGUGAGCCCCGAACCCAUAUGAAGGACCCUCUCCGCUGUUCUCCCUUCUUAGGGGCUAGUGUGAGAAGCAGUCUUACCAGUGGAGAAAUAUACUAGUUUUAGGGCACCAGGCAGUCGGAAAUUGAGAUACUGACUUUUUAUUGGAAUUGUCUAGAAAAGCAAUGGCCUUGACUCUGAGGACCUUGGAAUCUGUGAGAUGUGACAGUGCCCCAUGCCUAAAGGAGGCCACUACCUGUCUCCUGAGAAGCUCAGCUGGUGUGCACCUCCCUUUGCCAGGGAACUUGGGGUCCCAGCUGCCCUGGGUCAUGUUAGCACAGCCCCCUUCCUGGUUGCAACUGCGAACUUCCAGUGCUUAUGCCUUGUCUUAGGCAGAAAGUUCAAUCGUUCUGACCCAUGCAUGCUUCGCCAGCCCCAAGCUGGAGCCCUCCAGGAUGGGCCGUGUGCUCACUUUGGCUCUCCCAUGCCCUAAGUAGCCCUCACCCCAGCCUACAGGUCUCUUAGCCUUGUCCCUCUGUCUCUGUCCCAUCACUCCCUGGUCCAUUUCACUGGCCAGGUGCUCUCUGAGUCCCAUAGUCCCCUAGCAGCAGGGAGAGAGGAAGGUGGGACCUCCUUUACCUGCCAAGCCUGUCCCUCUAGAAGAACUCUUUUCUAGAUGACAUCGAUACCAGGCAGGAAUAAUUUGUUCAGGGCUGUUUAUCCUGGCACUUCUGCACAUUCGUCCUGUUAACUUAGGGACCACGGGGGAGCGGCUAGUUUGUUCCAAAUUAAAAGUACUAGGAAUGGGCCCCUCUGGCAGGCAGGAAGGCUGCAAUACAAAGACACAGGGUGAUGUGGCUCAAAUCAGGUCUUAAUAAGCCUUUGGGGGCCCAGAGGUCCCUGGCCAUGCCAGUGUGACCCUCACCUUCCCCAUGCUUCUUAGGGUUCCAGAAUCUUCCCUGGACCACCUCUCUCACCAGACCCAAGUCCCUGAGAGGUGUUGAUUCCUGAGAGUGGAGAUGGGAGAGCCAUGGAAGGCAGGACGAUUCAGGGAAAGUAAGGGCACCGCUCUGGAGCCAGACGGUCCCGGGUUCGAAUCCUGCCACUUCCUGGGGCAAGCCAUGUCCCACCUUGAGUCUGCAUCCUUCCCUGGAAAAUGGGGCUGGUCAUUCUCACGUCAUGGGACCACAAGGAGAUGGUACAUGUGACACGCUCAGUAUCCAACACAUAUCAGAGAACAACUUCCUGGGAGAAAUCAACUUCCCACCCUCGUCUUCUUUUCCUGCGAGCAAUGAGGUCCUGCUCUGUAGCACAGGGAACCUCAGCCGGUCACUUGUGAUGGAACAUGAUGGAGAAUAAUGUAAGAAAAAGAAUGUGGGUAUAUAUGUGUGUGUAUGUAUAGAGAGAGAGAGAGAGAGAGAGAGAGAGAGAGAGUGAGCUGGGUUCCUUUGCUGUACAGCAGAAAUUGACAGAACAUUGUAAAUCAACUAUAAUUUAAAAAAAAAAAAAAA
This 7809-nucleotide long non-coding RNA is filed under the name Sus scrofa (pig). RNAcentral describes it as "lncRNA (ENSSSCG00035038015.1)". The record is from RNAcentral. Lineage: Eukaryota; Metazoa; Chordata; Mammalia; Artiodactyla; Suidae.